This 103-nucleotide ribosomal RNA is filed under the name uncultured bacterium. RNAcentral describes it as "partial 16S ribosomal RNA". The record is from RNAcentral.
CAACGCCGGCCGUGGAGGAAUGAAGUUACUUCGGUACGUAAACUCCUUUCGAUCGGGACGAUAAUGACGGUACCGGAAGAAGAAGCCCCGGCUAACUUCGUGC